AGGACGAACGCUGGCGGCGUGCUUAACACAUGCAAGUCGAACGGAAAGGCCCUUUCGGGGGUACUCGAGUGGCGAACGGGUGAGUAACACGUGGGUGAUCUGCCCUGCACUUUGGGAUAAGCCUGGGAAACUGGGUCUAAUACCGAAUACACCUUGCUGGCUGCAUGGCCUGGUGGGGGAAAGCUUUUGCGGUGUGGGAUGGGCCCGCGGCCUAUCAGCUUGUUGGUGGGGUGAUGGCCUACCAAGGCGACGACGGGUAGCCGGCCUGAGAGGGUGUCCGGCCACACUGGGACUGAGAUACGGCCCAGACUCCUACGGGAGGCAGCAGUGGGGAAUAUUGCACAAUGGGCGCAAGCCUGAUGCAGCGACGCCGCGUGAGGGAUGACGGCCUUCGGGUUGUAACCUCUUUCAGUAUCGACGAAGCGCAAGUGACGGUAGGUACAGAAGAAGCACCGGCCAACUACGCGCCAGCAGCCGCGGU
This 481-nucleotide ribosomal RNA is filed under the name uncultured bacterium. RNAcentral's name for it is "SSU rRNA". It matches the Rfam family "Bacterial small subunit ribosomal RNA", at positions 26 to 521 of the family's 1533-position model. The record is from RNAcentral.